UGACGGUACCUGACUAAGAAGCUCCGGCUAAAUACGUGCCAGCAGCCGCGGUAAUACGUAUGGAGCAAGCGUUAUCCGGAUUUACUGGGUGUAAAGGGAGCGUAGACGGAAUUGCAAGUCUGAUGUGAAAGGCAUGGGCUCAACCUGUGGACUGCAUUGGAAACUGUGAUUCUUGAGUGCCGGAGGGGUAAGCGGAAUUCCUGGUGUAGCGGUGAAAUGCGUAGAUAUCAGGAGGAACACCGGUGGCGAAGGCGGCUUACUGGACGGCAACUGACGUUGAGGCUCGAAGGCGUGGGGAGCAAACAGGAUUAGAUACCCUG
RNAcentral lists this ribosomal RNA (320 nucleotides) under uncultured bacterium. Its description in RNAcentral is "bacterial SSU rRNA". It matches the Rfam family "Bacterial small subunit ribosomal RNA", at positions 470 to 789 of the family's 1533-position model. The record is from RNAcentral.